This 468-nucleotide ribosomal RNA is filed under the name uncultured bacterium. Its description in RNAcentral is "partial 16S ribosomal RNA". It matches the Rfam family "Bacterial small subunit ribosomal RNA", at positions 28 to 507 of the family's 1533-position model. The record is from RNAcentral.
GACGAACGCUGGCGGCGUGCUUAACACAUGCAAGUCGAACGGAAAGGCCCUGCUUUUGUGGGGUGCUCGAGUGGCGAACGGGUGAGUAACACGUGAGUAACCUGCCCUUGACUUUGGGAUAACUUCAGGAAACUGGGGCUAAUACCGGAUAGGAGCUCCUGCUGCAUGGUGGGGGUUGGAAAGUUUCGGCGGUUGGUGAUGGACUCGCGGCUUAUCAGCUUGUUGGUGGGGUAGUGGCUUACCAAGGCUUUGACGGGUAGCCGGCCUGAGAGGGUGACCGGCCACAUUGGGACUGAGAUACGGCCCAGACUCCUACGGGAGGCAGCAGUGGGGAAUAUUGCACAAUGGGCGGAAGCCUGAUGCAGCAACGCCGCGUGCGGGAUUAUGGCCUUCGGGUUGUAGACCGCUUUCGCCUGUGACGAAGCGUGAGUGACGGUAAUGGGUAAAGAAGCACCGGCUAACUACGUG